Hibiscus syriacus is the source of this 605-nucleotide long non-coding RNA. RefSeq lists it as uncharacterized. The transcript has 2 exons. Lineage: Eukaryota; Viridiplantae; Streptophyta; Magnoliopsida; Malvales; Malvaceae. The record is from RefSeq and is a predicted model, not a curated record.
GACAAGACUUCCGAGCAAGACGCUAUUAUCUUAGCAGGAUCAGAUUUCGGAAGCGGAAGCUCACAAGAUUGGGCCGUAACGAAUGUUACUGGUACAAACACAUUCAAAUAUCAUGUUUCUUUGCUUCUAACUCUUCUCAUCCAUCAACCCGAAUUCACCCUUUCUACCCCUUUGUUUAGGGAGAAAAUCCAUCGUAGUAAUCUGUCGGUAUGUGGAUCAUCCCAUUUCAUUCCAAGCCUGGAGAGGAUGCAGAUACACUAGGAUUAACAGGUCUCGAGUGCUAUACGAUUCACCUUCCAAGUAAAGUCCGCUAGAUAAGGCCUUGCCAAGAUGUUACCAUCACAGCUGACAUCAGAAAAUCCUACACACGAUCAAUACAAAGGUGGAAUUGGCUUACUUCAAUCAUGAUGGCAUACUUCCAUUUGUAAUUAGAAACCUUAACAAGAAGUUAGACAAUUUGGCUUCAAAUCAGUAACCUCUCCACUUCGAAAUCGACAUCGAAUGACCUCUUUACAGGUUAUAGGGGAGAUUUCUGCAUACAAUCACUAGCAGAGAAGAAACUUCUCAAGGUUCUUAAAUAAGAGCAGAAAAUCUGCUGCUUGUUA